UACGUAGGGUCCGAGCGUUGCCCGGAGUUACUGGGCGUAAAGCGCGCGCAGGCGGCGGUGCUGGCCCGGCGUGAAAGCCCCCGGCUCAACCGGGGAGGGUCGUCGGGGACCACACCGCUUGAGGGCGGUAGGGGCUGGUGGAAUACCUGGUGUAGUGGUGAAAUGCGUAGAGAUCAGGCGGAACACCCGUGGCGAAGGCGGCCAGCUGGGCCGUCCCUGACGCUGAGGCGCGAAGGCGUGGGGAGCGAACGGG
RNAcentral lists this ribosomal RNA (253 nucleotides) under uncultured bacterium. RNAcentral's name for it is "partial 16S ribosomal RNA". It matches the Rfam family "Bacterial small subunit ribosomal RNA", at positions 524 to 776 of the family's 1533-position model. The record is from RNAcentral.